RNAcentral lists this ribosomal RNA (119 nucleotides) under Pteropus alecto (black flying fox). The record is from RNAcentral. Lineage: Eukaryota; Metazoa; Chordata; Mammalia; Chiroptera; Pteropodidae.
GUCUACAGCCAUGCCACCCUGAACAAGCCCGAUCCCGUCUGAUCUCGGAAGCUAAGCAGGGUUGGGUCUGGUUAGUACUUGGAUGGGAGACCACGUAGGAAGACCAGGUGCUGUAGGCU